GACGAACGCUGGCGGCGUGCUUAACACAUGCAAGUCGAACGGAAAGGCCCUGCUUUUGUGGGGUGCUCGAGUGGCGAACGGGUGAGUAACACGUGAGUAACCUGCCCUUGACUUUGGGAUAACUUCAGGAAACUGGGGCUAAUACCGGAUAGGAGCUCCUGCUGCAUGGUGGGGGUUGGAAAGUUUCGGCGGUUGGGGAUGGACUCGCGGCUUAUCAGCUUGUUGGUGGGGUAGUGGCUUACCAAGGCUUUGACGGGUAGCCGGCCUGAGAGGGUGGCCGGCCACAUUGGGACUGAGGUACGGCCCAGACUCCUACGGGAGGCAGCAGUGGGGAAUAUUGCACAGUGGGCGGAAGCCUGAUGCAGCAACGCCGCGUGCGGGAUGACGGCCUUCGGGUUGUAAACCGCUUUCGCCUGUGACGAAGCGUGAGUGACGGUAAUGGGUAAAGAAGCACCGGCUAACUACGUG
This 468-nucleotide ribosomal RNA is filed under the name uncultured bacterium. Its description in RNAcentral is "partial 16S ribosomal RNA". It matches the Rfam family "Bacterial small subunit ribosomal RNA", at positions 28 to 507 of the family's 1533-position model. The record is from RNAcentral.